GAUAGGGUGGUGUACAGAGCACGUAGAGUUUUGGUCUCUAAGGGGGUAAUUCAUUUUGCCCUCUAUUA
RNAcentral lists this transfer RNA (68 nucleotides) under Paphia amabilis (short-necked clam). RNAcentral's name for it is "tRNA-Gln". The record is from RNAcentral. Lineage: Eukaryota; Metazoa; Mollusca; Bivalvia; Venerida; Veneridae.